RNAcentral lists this ribosomal RNA (441 nucleotides) under uncultured bacterium. RNAcentral describes it as "partial 16S ribosomal RNA". It matches the Rfam family "Bacterial small subunit ribosomal RNA", at positions 338 to 795 of the family's 1533-position model. The record is from RNAcentral.
CCUACGGGGGGCAGCAGUGGGGGAUAUUGCACAAUGGGGGGAACCCUGAUGCAGCGACGCCGCGUGGGUGAAGGAGUGCUUCGGCAUGUAAAGCCCUAUCGGCAGGGAAGAAGCAAGACGGUACCUGACUAAGAAGCCCCGGCUAACUACGUGCCAGCAGCCGCGGUAAUACGUAGGGGGCGAGCGUUAUCCGGAUUCACUGGGUGUAAAGGGAGCGUAGACGGCCAAGCAAGCCAGGGGUGAAAGCCCGGGGCCCAACCCCGGGACUGCCCUUGGAACUGCAUGGCUGGAGUGCGGGAGGGGCAGGCGGAAUUCCUGGUGUAGCGGUGAAAUGCGUAGAUAUCAGGAGGAAUACCGGUGGCGAAGGCGGCCCCCUGGACGAAGACUGACGCUCAGGUGCGAAAGCGUGGGGAGCAAACAGGAUUAGAUACCCGAGUAGUC